UACGGGGGGGGCAAGCGUUGUUCGGAAUUACUGGGCGUAAAGGGUUCGUAGGCGGCCAACUAAGUCGGAUGUGAAAUCCCCAGGCUCAACCUGGGAACUGCAUCCGAUACUGGAUGGCUUGAAUCCGGGAGAGGGAUGCAGAAUUCCAGGUGUAGCGGUGAAAUGCGUAGAUAUCUGGAGGAAUACCGGUGGCGAAGGCGGCAUCCUGGACCGGCAUUGACGCUGAGGAGCGAAAGCUAGGGGAGCAAACGGG
RNAcentral lists this ribosomal RNA (253 nucleotides) under uncultured bacterium. Its description in RNAcentral is "partial 16S ribosomal RNA". It matches the Rfam family "Bacterial small subunit ribosomal RNA", at positions 524 to 776 of the family's 1533-position model. The record is from RNAcentral.